This is an RNA transcript of Arachis ipaensis, 4850 nucleotides long. RefSeq lists it as uncharacterized. Lineage: Eukaryota; Viridiplantae; Streptophyta; Magnoliopsida; Fabales; Fabaceae. The record is from RefSeq and is a predicted model, not a curated record.
AGCACUACCAAAUUAAAUAUCAUCAAUAAUAUGUUUUAUUAUAUUCCACUGAAAAUGAGAAUUAGAUACCAAAAUGUCGCUGCAUGCAUAGUAUUGGUACUUGUGGUGGUGGUGGCUGAAAUCGCAGAGUUAUGCAUCUGUGAAAAUUCAACUACUCGCCGCCACUCUCGGUGUCUUGAACGAGAAAGGCAAGCUCUUGUGAAGUUCAAAGCAUCCCUGAAUGAUCCAUUUAACAUGCUUUCCUCAUGGCAUGGCCAUGACUGCUGCCGAUGGAAAGGGAUCGGUUGUGACAAUGUUACUGGUCACGUUGUCAUGCUUGAUUUCGCCUCUCCUUAUGUGAAAUGCUGGAGAUCCGUGCCUCAAAUUGAAUACAACGUGGCGGAAGAAUUUGAUGAUGAGUUCAUAUCAAGUGAAUGUGAACCUUUCAUCCGUCAAUAUGUGGAAGCAACGAAUGUUAAUUCGUCCCUACUGGAACUGGAAUACUUGACUCAUUUGGACUUGAGUGGAAAUCACUUCUAUGAGAGUCCCAUACCGAUGUUCAUUGGUUCUAUGCAACGCCUGAGGUAUUUGUCCCUCUCUGAUGCUGGUUUUGGCGGGAGAAUACUCAACAAUCUUGGAAAUCUCACCAACCUCCACUUUCUUGAUUUGAGUGGAAAUGAGUUUUCCCGAGCCAGCAACAUCAAUUGGAUUUCAAAACUGCCAUUGCUGGAGCACCUCGACAUGAGCUCUAUUUACAAUGGGUUGCAGGUUAAUGUUAUUAAUCUCACCAUCAGUGCUUCUAAACUUCAAUUCCUAAGUCUUGCCGACAAUGGACUUAGCGUGUCAAAUUUGGAUGCUUUACAAAACAUGACAUCUCUUAUGCAUCUUGAUCUUGGUGGGAAUAGUAUUACUUUAAAUUCAUCUUUGUUUGGCAACUUCAAGAAACUUGAGUAUCUUGAUCUUUCAAGGUGUGGACUUCAUGGCCCAAUUCCAAAUGCUUUCCAAAAUGCAACUUUCAUUGAAUUUUUGGACUUUUCUGAAAACAACUUUGACUCUUUUCCAUCCUGGUUUCACAAGUUUGAGAAACUCAAGCAUCUUUUUCUCUCAUCUAAUAAUUUCCAAGAUAUAAUUCCGGAUGCUUUACAAAAUAUGACUAGCAUUGAAUUCCUUGACCUUUCUGACAACUCUUUCACUUCAGUUCCAUCUUGGUUUGUUGAGUUAAAGAAACUUGUCUAUCUCAGUCUUUCAAGUAAUGAAUUAACAUCCAUGGAAUGUUCCAUUUCAUCCAUUUUGAAAAAUAUGUGUCACCUAAAAAGUUUACAUGUAGCAGGAAACAGACUCCGAAAAGAAUCCAUUGGAAAUAAUGAUUUGUCUACCUGCAUUAGACAUGAUUUGGAGAAUCUUGACUUGAGUCAAAAUGAAUUUAAUGAUCAAUUGCCAUCUUGGUUAGGACAACUUGAAAAUCUAGGCAACCUUGAUUUCCAAGAUAAUUUUUUCUAUGGUCCCAUUCCCUCUUCUUUUGGAAAAUUACUGAAAUUGGAAAAUUUAUAUCUAUCCAGCAACAAGUUAGAAGGGGACCUUCCUGAUUUCAUGGGACAACUAGUAAAUUUACAGGUGGUCGAUCUUUCAAAUAAUUUAUUUAAUGGAACCAUUACCCAAAAUCUUGGACAACUUGUAAAUUUACGAGUUCUUUGUGUCUCAAAUAAUUCUUUAAAGGGAACAAUUCCUGAAAAUAUUAGACAACUUGUAAACUUACAAAGUAUUGAUCUCUCAAAUAAUUAUUUGACAGGAACCAUUCCUACGAGUCUUGAUCAACUAGUAAAUGUAACUAGCCUUGACUUUUCCAAUAAUUUUUUGAAUGGCUCAAUUCCUAUGGGACUUAAUCAACUUGUAAAUCUGAAUACACUUGAUCUUUCAAGAAACAAACUAGAUGGGAGAAUUUGUAUUGAUUUUCAAAAACUUGGGAUUCUAUCAUACUUGGAUCUAUCUUCAAACAAUUUGAAUGGACCCAUUACAGAGGAAGAAAGUUGGCCUUUGUUUAUCCCAGAAAUGGUGUAUUUGAAUCUCUCCCAUAAUCAUAUCAGUGGCUCACUUCCUGAACAUAUUGGUCAUAUGAUGCCCAAUUUGUCAUCCUUGAUUCUUGGAAAUAACCUCAUAAAUGGUUCAAUUCCAAAAUCAUUGUGCCAAGUUGAUAAUUUGAGUAUCCUUGACCUUUCAAAGAACAGACUAUCUGGUAAAAUCCCCAAUUGUUGGAAGGAUAACAUAGCAUGGGAAGAAAUAAAUUUAUCAUCCAACAAACUAACAGGUACUUUUCCAAGCUCACUUGGGAAUCUUUCCUCUUUGUCAUGGUUGCAUUUGAACAAUAACAGCCUUCGUGGAGAGUUUCUAGCGUCUGUGAGAAAUUUGAAGCAAUUGUUGAUCUUGGAUCUCGGAGAGAAUCAACUUUCUGGCACCAUCCCAUCAUGGAGUGCUAACACAUUUUCUUCACUACAAAUUCUAAGAUUGCGGCAAAACAGGUUAGGUGGCAGCAUUCCUUCGAAGAUUUGUGAACUAUCAUCCAUUCAAAUCUUGGACCUUUCUCGCAACAAUUUAAAUGGUUCAAUACCUCGCUGCAUAGGCAAUCUUCGAGGAAUGACUCUUGAGGCUCCUGCUUUGUCUCCUACUUCAUCUGCUGCCGCGCUUCUCAAUUCGCCUCGUGCACGAAUAUUUGAAUCUGAUUGGGAAACGGAGGAUGUCAUAGAAGUCAUGAAAGGAAGAGAACUUGACUACAUAAGAAUCUUGAAGCUUGUAGUCAUCAUGGAUUUGUCCCAGAAUAAUUUGCUUGGCUCCAUUCCAAAAGGAAUAACAUUGCUCAAUGGUUUGCAUAGCUUGAAUCUAUCAAACAAUCAUUUGAUCGGAAAGAUCCCUAACAUGAUAGGGGAUAUGAGAUCACUUGAAUCCUUUGAUGUUUCAACUAACCAACUCUCGAGUACAAUUCCAAGCAGCAUGUCAGCCUUAACAUCACUAAGUCACUUAAAUUUGUCACACAAUAACUUCUCUGGGACAAUUCCCACAGACAACCAGUUUUUAACAUAUGAUGCAUCCAGUUAUGCUGGCAACCCAUAUCUUUGUGGAUCUCCUCUACCCAACAAAUGUGGUUAUUUACAUGAAGAUCAUGGGGGCAGCGAAUUUGAAGAUGAUGACAGCAACUUAGAUAUGUUGGAAAAGUGGUUGUUCUACUUUGUGAUUGCAAUUGGCUUUGCAACUGGGUUUUGGGGAGUUAUUGGCACUUUGUGGUUCAAGAAAACUUGGAGGCAUGCUUACUUCAGAUGGGUAGAAGAUUUAGCCGACAUUAUCUAUGUCACAACUGCAAUAAGAAUGGCAAAAUUGAAGAAGUGGAUGAUGAUGAGAAGCCGUGUUGUUGCUUGAUCAUGUAUUCAAAGGUGGAAAUAAAUUAAGGAAAGUGAAUAAUGUUUGAUGCAUGUAUCAAUGUAUGUGUUUGCAUGAAUUUGUAAUAGAGAUUGUCAAUUGAUGUUUAAUCUCCUGAAGAACCUCUGCAUAAAACAGAACAACAUAUCUAACAAAAUUAUAAAUUGAAGUUGAGUUAAUAGCUCCCUUCUGCAAUUCACCUCUUUUGAUGCACCAAUUUUCUUAAAUUCCUUUUGAUUUCAUUUUCUCUGAACCUUGAUUCAAUGCAGCAGUAACCAUACCACAACUGUUAUGUAACUAUACACUUCAUUUGUGGUUCAAUAUACUUCCUAGUUACUGUAAUGUCCCAAGCUUUUUUUCUUUCUAUUAUUACUAUCCUACCCUUUAAUUUUAUCAAAAUUCCUACAUUACCCUUAUUCCUCCUACCCAAACCCAACCCUAAAUUACUAAACAACUUCCACUCUUCCUCAUCAACCACAGCCCCCCCUUCUUUUCAAAACUCACAUCAUACACAUACACCCACGCAGAAAAAAAAAGAGAGAACGGCAGAAGGGGCUGCAGCCUCCACGCCUCGCCGCCGAAGUUCUGCUGCUGCCAAGUCGCCAUCGACGUCAACCCUAGAGAAAGAGGGAGUCUGGGAGUUGAAGGAAGCUGGAGGAGUGUCGCUGCCGUUAGCAUUUUGCAGUGCCGUCAUCAUAGUCACGGAGAAGGAGGAGGACCCACGAGGAAGAGAGGGACGCGGUCAGUCUCAUCGUCAUCAGAUCCGUCUUUGCCGAUGGAGACCCCGUCGCUAAGCUGCUGCGCCGCCGCUGCCACCGUUGGGUUUCCGGGAAGAGGAGCUCGAACGGGAGAGAGAGAACGAGAGAGAGAGUUCGCAGAAAGAGAAACAUCACCAUACACAAACAGAGGGGGAGGAGGAACUCACCGGAGGAGAGGAGACUCGUCGCCGUGCCUCUAGUCGCCAGGAACGGCGCUACCGUCGCCGGAAAACACGCCGGAGCUUCCAAACUCACCGGCAACACUACCUUGCCACUGUUCUGAAUUUUAUCUGCCUUUGUCUCUGUAUUCGAUUUGAAAUGACUGCCUGGUGUUGUGGUCCUUGUCGCUGUCGUGAGACGCACUCUGAAUUUGGUCUCUUCGAUCCGUUAGGACCAUGCUGAUUAAAUAUUUGACUAUAUGAGACUUUCUAUUCAAGAGUAACGGUCUGCAAUGAGUACUUAUUCUUUGUCGAAUUUCUAGAAGUCUAUGCUCCAUAUGUCACAUGCAGGAUUCAACCAUUCUUAGUUAUUUUAAUUUAUAUUAAAAAUAUAACUAUUUAUUUUAGAACUUGUAAAAUAUUUGUAACUCGCUUAUUCAACUUAUAUUUGAGUAUGUUAGACUUGCUAUAGGAUUAUUUUCUUGAGCGCCAAUCAUAACUCAUUUUGAGUCGUGACAGUUACAGAUGGCAGAGGCUAUUGAUUCAA